This 480-nucleotide ribosomal RNA is filed under the name uncultured bacterium. RNAcentral describes it as "partial 16S ribosomal RNA". It matches the Rfam family "Bacterial small subunit ribosomal RNA", at positions 28 to 523 of the family's 1533-position model. The record is from RNAcentral.
GACGAACGCUGGCGGCGUGCUUAACACAUGCAAGUCGAACGGUGAAGGGGAGCUUGCUCCCCGGAUCAGUGGCGAACGGGUGAGUAACACGUGGGCAACCUGCCCCAGACUUCGGGAUAACGCUUCGAAAGAGGUGCUAAUACCGGAUACGAACUCCUUGGGCAUCCUGGGAGUUGGAAAGUUUUUCGGUCUGGGAUGGGCCCGCGGCCUAUCAGCUUGUUGGUGAGGUUACGGCUCACCAAGGCGACGACGGGUAGCCGGCCUGAGAGGGCGACCGGCCACACUGGGACUGGGACAAGGCCCAGACUCCUACGGGAGGCAGCAGUGGGGAUAUUGCGCAAUGGGCGAAAGCCUGACGCAGCGACGCCGGGUGAGGGAUGACGGCCUUCGGGUUGUAAACCUCUUUCAGCAGGGAAGAAGCGAAAGUGACGGUACCUGCAGAAGAAGCACCGGCUAACUACGUGCCAGCAGCCGCCGUAA